RNAcentral lists this unclassified non-coding RNA (319 nucleotides) under Alcanivorax sp. DSM 26293. Its description in RNAcentral is "Long range pseudoknot". Lineage: Bacteria; Pseudomonadati; Pseudomonadota; Gammaproteobacteria; Oceanospirillales; Alcanivoracaceae. The record is from RNAcentral.
ACCGACAUUGGUGACUAUGAGGUGAAACUGCGUAACCUCAUUCGUUUCCUUGAGGCCGGCGACAAAGCGAAAAUCACCGUCCGUUUCCGCGGCCGGGAGAUGGCUCACCAGGAACUGGGCCGGGAGCUUCUCGCGCGUGUCGAGAAGGACCUGGAAGAAUACGGUUCCGUUGAGCAACGUCCGAACAUGGAAGGGCGCCAGAUGAUCAUGGUGCUCAGCCCGGGCAAAAAGAAGAAGCAGUCCUGAUCGACUGUUUAAUUAAUUCACCAACUUGAGAAGGUACCAUGCCUAAAAUCAAGACAAAUCGUGGGGCUGCCAA